This 4267-nucleotide long non-coding RNA is filed under the name Homo sapiens (human). RNAcentral describes it as "non-protein coding LINC02407:27". Lineage: Eukaryota; Metazoa; Chordata; Mammalia; Primates; Hominidae. The record is from RNAcentral.
AGUUCUCAACUUGCUCCUUGGCUGUUCUCCUGACACUUAAGUCAGAGCAUUCUGUAGCUGUAUUUUACAGAACUGUAAUUGCACAGAUUGUUCCUCUUACAAGAGAAAUAUCCAGAGCUCUAAGAAAACAACUGAUGAAAACGACAUGCGUGACAUUUGGUGCUGAAGACCCAGGUCAGAGAGACUCCUUUGGGGGACCAGUCCGCUGUCCUUGCCCUCACUCUGUGAGGAGACCCACCUACGACCUCGGGUCCUCAGACCAACCAGCUCAAGGAACAUCUCACCAAUUUCAAAUCGGGACCCCACUGGAAAAUGGACUGUCCAACUCACCCGGCAGCCACUCCCAGAGCCCCUGGAACUCUGGCCCAAGGCUCUCUGACUGACUCCUUCCCAGAUCUUCUCGGCUCAGCAGCUGAAGACUGACACUGCUUGAUUGCCUGGGAAGCCUAUAGGACCAUCACAGACACUUUGGAUAACUCUUACAGUGAAGGACAAAAAAGCGCCACUGCAGGGAGGAAUGCCAGGGUCCCAUAGAGGGAGACCGACAGUGAAGUGGAGCCUGCCAUGAAUUCACCAAAGGCCAUUCUCCCUUUCUUCCAGAAGAACAGCAUUUAGCUGGGCCUAUGGCUACCUACCUAAAGACUGCACCUCUUAGUCACCCUUGUGGCCAGGUGUGGCCACGUGACAGUGGAAUUGGGCAGGAAGAACCUGUUGGACAGUAACAGAGAGAAGAGAAGAACCAUAAGAAGUGGAAUGUGAGGUGGAUUGAGAGUUUAGUGGGACCAGGAAAUCUAAGCAGGAGUGACCCCAGCAACAGAGGCACCUUAGGGUUUGCAGAAAUCAUGGGAAAGGCACUGAACUUUCCACAGUAUGUAGGAUAAGGACUUGAGUCUUUUUUUUUUUUUUUUUUUGAGACAUUGAGACAAGGUCUCUUUGUCACUCAGGCUGGAGUGCAGUGGCAUAAUCAUGGUUCACUGCAGCCUCGACUUCCUGUGCUCAAGUGAUCUUCCUGCUUCAGCCUCCCAAGUAGCUGGGACGACAGGCAGGUACUACUAUUCCCGGCUGGGUUUUUUUGUUUUUUGUUUUUUUUUUGUUUUUGAGACGGAGUCUUGCUCUUUUGCCCAGGCUGCAGUACAGUGGCAUGAUCUUGGCUCACUUCAACCUCUGCCUCUUGGGUUCAAGCGAUUCUCCUGCCUCAGCCCCCCAAGUAGCUGGGAUUACAUGCACCUGCCACCACGCCUGGCUAAAUUUUUGUAUUUUUAGUAGAGAAGGUGUUUUGCCAUGUUGGCCAGGCUGGUCUCAAACUCCUGACCUCAAGUGAUCCACCUGCCUUAGCCUCCCAAAGUGCUGGGAUUACAAGGGUGAACCACCACACCCAGCCCAUGCCCAGCUAAUCAAAAACAAAUUUUUUUUUGGUAGAGAUGGAGUCUAACUAUGUUGCCAAGGCUGGUCUCAAAUUCUUGGGCUCAAAUGAUCCUCCUGCCUCAGUCUUCCAAAGUGCUGAGAUUACAAGCAUGAGCCACCACACCUGGCUGCCAUUUUUAUUUUAACAUUAAAUGUAUACAUAUACUACCCAAGGCUGGAAGACAUAGGGACACCAAGAUGACAGUUAGUGUGUGCUUUGUAUAUGUAGGUAUGCCUCAGAGAUAUUAUGGGUUUGGGUCCAGACUACUGCAAUAAAGCAGAUAUCACAAUAACGUGAGUCACAAGAAUAUUUUUGUUUCCUUGUGCACAUAAAAUUGUGUUAUUCUACACUGUAGUCUAUUAAGUGUGCAAUAGCAUUAUGUCUUAAGAAAGCAAUGUAUAUACCUUAAUUUAAAAAAUGGUUUAUUGCUGAAAAAUUUUCAUGAUCAUCUGAGCCUUCAAUGACUUCCGUAAUCUUUUUGUGGGUAGAGUCUUGCCUUGAUGUUGAUGGUUGCUGACUAAUCAGGGUGGUGGUUGCCAAAGGAUGGGGUAGGUGUGGCAAUUCUUAAAAUAAGGCAGCAAUGAAGUUCUCUGCAUCAAUUGACUCUCCCUUUUAUGAAAGAUCUCUCCAUAGAAUGGAAUGCUGUUUGAUAGCAUUUUAUCCACCAUAGAAGUUCUUUCAAAAUUGGAGACAAUCCUCUCAAACCUGCUACUGCUUUCUGCUUUAUCAACUAAGUUGAUGUUAUCUUCUAAAUCUUCUGUUGUCAUUUCAACAUUGUACAUGGCAUCGUCACCAGGACUAGAUACCCUCUCCAGAAAGCACUUUCUUUGCUCAUCCAUAAGAAGCAACUCCUUGUCCAUUCAGGUUUUACCUUGAGAUGGCAGCAUUCAGUCACAUCUUCAGACUCUACUUUUGAUUCUAAUUUUAUUGCUAUUUCCACCUCAUCUGCUGUGACUUUCUCCAGUGAAGUCUUGAACCUCUGCAAGUCAUCCAUGAGGGUUGGAACCAACUUAUUCCAAACUCCUGCUCAUGUUGGUAUUUUGACCUCUUCCCAUGAAUCACAAAUAUUCUUAGUGGCAACCAGAAUGGUAAAUUCUUUCCAGAAUGUUUUCAAUAUACAUUGCCCAGAUUCAUCAGAGGAAUCCUUACGUGUGGCAGUUAUAGCCUUAAGAAACGUUUUUCUUAAGAAUAAGUCUUUAAAGUUGAAACUACUCCUUGAUCCAUGUGCUACAGAAUGGAUAUUAUGUUAGCAAGCAUGAAACAACAUUAAUCUCUUAGUACAUCUCCAUCAGAACUCUUGGGUGAUCAGAGGCAUUGUUAAUGAGCAGAAAUAUUUUGAAAGAAACCUUUUUUUCUGAGCAAUAGGUCUUAAAGGGUGGGCUUGACCAGGCAUGGUGGCUCAUACUUGUAACCCAAUUAUUUCAGGAGGCUGAGGCGAGAGGAUCACUUGAGCUCGGGAGUUCAAGAUCAGCCUGGACAACAUAGGGAGACCCCAUCUCUACAAAAAACUAAAAAGUAAUAAAAAUUUUUUAAAUUAAAAAAAGAGUGGGCUUAAAAUAUUCAGUAAAAGAUGCUAUAAACAGAUGUGCUGUCACGCAGGCUCUGUUGUUUCAUUUAGAGCACACAGGUAGAGUAGAUUUAGCAUCAUUCUGAAGGACCCUAGGAUUUUUUGAAUGUUCAAUGAGCAUUGGCUUCAACUUCAAAUCCCCAGCAGCAUUAUCCCCUAACAAGAGAGCCCAUCCUUUAAAACCUGGAAACCAGGCAUUAACUUCUCUCCAGCUAUGGAAGUUCUAGGUGGCAUGUUCUUCCAAUAGAAGGCUGUUUCAUCAGCAUUGAAAACCUGUUGUUUAAAGCAGCCACCUUCAUCAAUGAUCUUAGCUAGAUCUUUUGGAUAACUUGCUGCAGCUUCUGCUUUUGGAGAAAGUGCUUCACCUUGCACUUUGAUGUUAUAGAGAUGGCUUCUUUCCUUAAACCUCAUGAACCAACCUUUGCUGGCUUCAAACCUUUCUUCUGCAGCUUCCUCACCUCUCCCAGCCUUCAUGGAAUGGAAGAGAGUUAGGGCCUUGCUCUGAAUUAGGCUUUGGCUUAAGGGAGUGUUGUGGCAGGUUUGAAAUUUUAUCCUACCACUAAAACUUUCUCCAUAUCAGCAAGAAGGCUGUUUUGCUUUCUUAUCAUUUGUGUGUUCACUGGAGUAGCACUUUUAAUUUCCUUCCAGAACUUUUUCUUUGCAUUCACAACUUCACCGACCCGUGCAAGAGGCCUAGCUUUUGGCCUAUCUCAGCUUUAGACAUGCCUUCCUCACUAAGCUUAAUCAUUUCCACCUUUUGUUUAAAGUGAAAGACAAGUAACUAUUCCUUUCAGUUGAAAACUUGGAGGCCUUUGUAGGGUCAUUAAUUGACCUAACUUCAACACUGCUGUGUCUCAGAAUAGGAGACCCAAGAUCAGGGAGAGAGACAGGGAAACAGCCAGUCGGCAGAACAGUCAGAACACAUAUGACAUUUAUAAAUUAAGUUCACUAUCUUCUACGGGCAUGGAUCAUGGCACCCCAAAACAAUUACAAUAGUUACAUCAAAAAUCAUUGAUCAAAGUCUGGACAUAGUGGCUCAUACCUGUAAUCCCAGCACUUUGGGAGGCUGAGGCAAGAGGAUUACCUAAGCCCAGGAGUUCAAGAUCAGCCUGGGCAAUAAGGUGAGACCCCAUCUCUACAAAAACAGCUAAAAAAUUAGCCGGGCAUGUUGAUGUGCACCUGUGGUCCUAGCUAUUCGGGAGGCUGAGGGGAGGCUCUCCUGAGCCCAGGAAGUCAAGGCUGCAAUGAGCUGUGUUCAUGUCACUACACUCCAGCCUGGAUGACAGAGUAAGACC